AAAGAAACCUUCUUCAGGCAACCUUCAAAAUUGAAUUCCACAAAAAUGGUUGAUUCUUUGUAUUACAUCUAUUACAACAUGGGUUUCAUGACAGCUCGACACACCCGUACAUGGUUUGAAAUGGGUCAUUUCUAUUGAAAAUCAUCAUGGCGAAAUUCAAAGGUAUAUGUAGUGAUCUGUAAAAUCUGACUUUGUUAUUUACCCAUAAAAGGUCUUGGUCAGAUCCUACUAUAGCUACCACUGUUGAGACAAUUCUUUAACGCCUUUGGUGGCCAUCGAAGAGGAAAUCACCGGCUCCAUAUUUCUCAAUUUCGAUUUAGCACUUGGGAGUCUGCUCCUUCAUUGUUGAACAAGUAGAUUUACAUAUUGCAAGCCAUAGCUUUAGCACAGGUUCGAUUGAAAGAAAAGACAGAGAGCAGCUGUAGAGAUUUUUGAAAUCAUUUGGCUGAUUUGUGUGGAGCUAUGAAGCUACUAGAAUUGGUAGAUGGGCUUGGAUGGAUUUGGG
RNAcentral lists this long non-coding RNA (505 nucleotides) under Olea europaea (common olive). RNAcentral's name for it is "long non-coding RNA (OEUR_LNC011873)". The record is from RNAcentral. Lineage: Eukaryota; Viridiplantae; Streptophyta; Magnoliopsida; Lamiales; Oleaceae.